RNAcentral lists this small RNA (765 nucleotides) under Pan troglodytes (chimpanzee). RNAcentral describes it as "retained intron". Lineage: Eukaryota; Metazoa; Chordata; Mammalia; Primates; Hominidae. The record is from RNAcentral.
CGCGCCAUGGAGCAUGUGACAGAGGGCUCCUGGGAAUCGCUGCCUGUGCCGCUGCACCCGCAGGUGCUGGGCGCGCUGCGGGAGCUGGGCUUCCCGUACAUGACGCCGGUGCAGUCCGCAACCAUCCCUCUGUUCAUGCGAAACAAAGAUGUCGCUGCAGAAGCGGUCACAGGUAGUGGCAAAACACUCGCUUUUGUCAUCCCCAUCCUGGAAAUUCUUCUGAGAAGAGAAGAGAAGUUAAAAAAGAGUCAGGUUGGAGCCAUAAUCAUCACCCCCACUCGAGAGCUGGCCAUUCAAAUAGACGAGGUCCUGUCGCAUUUCACGAAGCACUUCCCCGAGUUCAGGUGAAUUGGAUGCAGUGUCCCUGUUAGCCAUGGGCUGUUUUGUCGAACUUAAUCAAAGGCUGUUUUCUUGUUGUAGCCAGAUUCUUUGGAUCGGAGGCAGGAAUCCUGGAGAAGAUGUUGAGAAGUUUAAGCAACAAGGUGGGAACAUCAUUGUGGCCACUCCAGGCCGCUUGGAGGACAUGUUCCGGAGGAAGGCCGAAGGCUUGGAUCUGGCCAGCUGUGUGCGAUCCCUGGAUGUCCUGGUGUUGGAUGAGGCAGACAGACUUCUGGACAUGGGGUUUGAGGCAAGCAUCAACACCAUUCUGGAGUUUUUGCCAAAGCAGAGGAGAACAGGCCUUUUCUCUGCCACUCAGACGCAGGAAGUGGAGAACCUGGUGAGAGCGGGCCUCCGGAACCCUGUCCGGGUCUCAGUGAAGGAGAA